RNAcentral lists this ribosomal RNA (468 nucleotides) under uncultured bacterium. RNAcentral describes it as "partial 16S ribosomal RNA". It matches the Rfam family "Bacterial small subunit ribosomal RNA", at positions 29 to 507 of the family's 1533-position model. The record is from RNAcentral.
AACGAACGCUGGCGGCGCGCCUAACACAUGCAAGUCGAACGGAACUGAGAUAAGCUUGCUUUUCUUAGCUUAGUGGCUAACGGGUGAGUAACGCGUAAGUAACCUGCCAUUGAGUCGGGGACAACAAUGGGAAACGACUGCUAAUACCACAUAAUCCCACGAUCCGGCAUCGGAUUGAGGGCAAAGGAUUUAUUCGCUUCAGAAUGGCCUCGCGUCCAAUUACCUAGUUGGUGAGGUAACGGCCCACCAAGGCGCCGAUUGGUAAACGGACUGAGAGGUUGAGUGGCCACACUGGGACUGGGACACGGUCGAGAAUACUAGGGGAUGGAGGAGUGGGGGAUAUUGCAAAAUCGGGGAAACGCAGAUGGAGCGCCGCUGCGUGAGGGAAGAAGGUUUUAGGAUUGUAAAGUCCUGUCGUAAGCGACGAUAAUGACGGUACCUAAAAAGAAAGCACCGGCUAACUACGUG